GCGGGCGUAGUUUAGUGGUAGAACUCCUGCCUUCCAAGCAGAUAGUGCCAGUUCGAUUCUGGUCGCCCGCU
This 71-nucleotide transfer RNA is filed under the name Thalassoporum mexicanum PCC 7367. Its description in RNAcentral is "tRNA-Gly (TCC) (tRNA-Gly-TCC-1-1)". It matches the Rfam family "tRNA". Rfam says of the family: Transfer RNA (tRNA) molecules are approximately 80 nucleotides in length. The record is from Rfam by way of RNAcentral. Lineage: Bacteria; Bacillati; Cyanobacteriota; Cyanophyceae; Pseudanabaenales; Thalassoporaceae.